CAGUAGCCGCGGUAAUACAGAGGGUGCGAGCGUUAAUCGGAUUUACUGGGCGUAAAGCGUGCGUAGGCGGCUUCUUAAGUCGGAUGUGAAAUCCCUGAGCUUAACUUAGGAAUUGCAUUCGAUACUGGGAAGCUAGAGUAUGGGAGAGGAUGGUAGAAUUCCAGGUGUAGCGGUGAGAUGCGUAGAGAUCUGGAGGAAUACCGAUGGCGAAGGCAGCCAUCUGGCCUAAUACUGACGCUGAGGUACGAAAGCAUGGGGAGCAAACAGGAUUAGAGACCCCCGUAGUCCCUGUCUCUUAUAC
Molecule: ribosomal RNA, 301 nt
Filed under: uncultured bacterium
Lineage: Bacteria
Description: partial 16S ribosomal RNA
Rfam family: Bacterial small subunit ribosomal RNA
Source: RNAcentral